Molecule: ribosomal RNA, 169 nt
Filed under: uncultured marine bacterium
Lineage: Bacteria
Description: partial 16S ribosomal RNA
Rfam family: Bacterial small subunit ribosomal RNA
Source: RNAcentral
CCUACGGGAGGCAGCAGUGGGGAAUAUUGGACAAUGGGCGCAAGCCUGAUCCAGCCAUGCCGCGUGUGUGAUGAAGGCCCUAGGGUUGUAAAGCACUUUCAACGGUGAAGAUAAUGACGGUAACCGUAGAAGAAGCCCCGGCUAACUUCGUGCCAGCAGCCGCGGUAAU